AACGAACGCUGGCGGCAUGCCUAACACAUGCAAGUCGAACGAAGCCUUCGGGCUUAGUGGCGCACGGGUGCGUAACGCGUGGGAAUCUGCCCCUUGCUUCGGAAUAACAGUUAGAAAUGACUGCUAAUACCGGAUGAAGUCUUCGGACCAAAGAUUUAUCGGCACGGGAUGAGCCCGCGUAGGUUUAGGUAGUUGGUGGGGUAAAGGCCCACCAAGCCGACGAUCCUUAGCUGGUCUGAGAGGAUGAUCAGCCACACUGGGACUGCGACACGGCCCAGACUCCUACGGGAGGCAGCAGUGGGGAAUAUUGGACGAUGGAGGCAAGUCUGAUCCAGCCAUGCCGCGUGAGUGAUGAAGGCCGUAGGGUUGUAAAGCUCUUUUACCAGGGAUGAUAAUGACGGUACCUGGAGAAUAAGCACCGGCUAACUACGUG
RNAcentral lists this ribosomal RNA (433 nucleotides) under uncultured bacterium. RNAcentral's name for it is "partial 16S ribosomal RNA". It matches the Rfam family "Bacterial small subunit ribosomal RNA", at positions 29 to 507 of the family's 1533-position model. The record is from RNAcentral.